This 446-nucleotide ribosomal RNA is filed under the name uncultured bacterium. RNAcentral's name for it is "bacterial SSU rRNA". It matches the Rfam family "Bacterial small subunit ribosomal RNA", at positions 329 to 792 of the family's 1533-position model. The record is from RNAcentral.
CGCCAGACUCCUACGGGAGGCAGCAGUGGGGAAUAUUGCACAAUGGGGGAAACCCUGAUGCAGCGACGCCGCGUGAGUGAAGAAGUAUUUCGGUAUGUAAAGCUCUCUCAGCAGGGAAGAAAAUGACGGUACCUGACCAAGAAGCCCCGGCUAACUACGUGCCAGCAGCCGCGGUAAUACGUAGGGGGCAAGCGUUAUCCGGAUUUACUGGGUGUAAAGGGAGCGUAGACGGUUGUGCAAGUCAGAAGUGAAAGCCCGGGGCUCAACUCCGGGACUGCUUUUGAAACUGUGAAACUGGAGUGCAGGAGAGGUAAGCGGAAUUCCUGGUGUAGCGGUGAAAUGCGUAGAUAUCAGGAGGAACACCAGUGGCGAAGGCGGCUUACUGGACCGUAACUGACGUUGAGGCUCGAAAGCGUGGGGAGCAAACAGGAUUAGAUACCCGAGUA